GUAGUCCACGCCGUAAACGAUGGAUACUAGCUGUCCGUCCGCCGUUGGGCGGAUGGGUGGCCAAGCGAAAGUGAUAAGUAUCCCACCUGGGGAGUACGUUCGCAAGAAUGAAACUCAAAGGAAUUGACGGGGGCCCGCACAAGCGGUGGAGCAUGUGGUUUAAUUCGAUGAUACGCGAGGAACCUUACCAGGGCUUAAAUGCAGUCGGACAGGGGCGGAAACGCCCCCUUCUUCGGACUGAUUGCAAGGUGCUGCAUGGUUGUCGUCAGCUCGUGCCGUGAGGUGUCAGGUUAAGUCCUAUAACGAGCGCAACCCCUGCCGUUAGUUGCCAGCGAGUAAAGUCGGGAACU
This 350-nucleotide ribosomal RNA is filed under the name uncultured Flavobacteriaceae bacterium. RNAcentral's name for it is "bacterial SSU rRNA". It matches the Rfam family "Bacterial small subunit ribosomal RNA", at positions 790 to 1139 of the family's 1533-position model. Lineage: Bacteria; Pseudomonadati; Bacteroidota; Flavobacteriia; Flavobacteriales; Flavobacteriaceae. The record is from RNAcentral.